UACGAAGGGGGCAAGCGUUGUUCGGAAUUACUGGGUUUAAAGGGCACGUAGGCGGCUUAUUUAGUCAGGGGUGAAAACGUUCGGCUUAACCGGGGACCUGCCAUUGAUACUGCAAGUCUCGAGUGCGGCAGAGGGGGUUGGAAUGUGUGGUGUAGCGGUGAAAUGCGUAGAUAUCAGGAAGAACACCAGUCGCGAAGGCAGUUCCCUGGGUCGGAACUGACGCUGAGGCGCGAAAGCGUGGGGAGCAAACAGG
Molecule: ribosomal RNA, 253 nt
Filed under: uncultured bacterium
Lineage: Bacteria
Description: partial 16S ribosomal RNA
Rfam family: Bacterial small subunit ribosomal RNA
Source: RNAcentral